RNAcentral lists this transfer RNA (17 nucleotides) under Kalopanax septemlobus. RNAcentral describes it as "partial tRNA-His". The record is from RNAcentral. Lineage: Eukaryota; Viridiplantae; Streptophyta; Magnoliopsida; Apiales; Araliaceae.
AAGAGUAGUAGGGGGGC